Molecule: ribosomal RNA, 392 nt
Filed under: uncultured Alphaproteobacteria bacterium
Lineage: Bacteria; Pseudomonadati; Pseudomonadota; Alphaproteobacteria
Description: bacterial SSU rRNA
Rfam family: Bacterial small subunit ribosomal RNA
Source: RNAcentral
GAGUUUGAUCUUGGCUCAGAACGAACGCUGGCGGCAUGCCUAACACAUGCAAGUCGAACGGGAUCCUGGCUUCGGUCAGGUGAGAGUGGCGGACGGGUGAGUAACGCGUGGGAACCUGCCCAGUGGUGGGGGAUAACUGCGGGAAACUGCAGCUAAUACCGCAUGAGCCCGAGAGGGGAAAGAUUUAUCGCCAUUGGAGGGGCCCGCGUUCGAUUAGGUAGUUGGUGGGGUAAUGGCCUACCAAGCCGACGAUCGAUAGCUGGUCUGAGAGGAUGAUCAGCCACACUGGGACUGAGAUACGGCCCAGACUCCUACGGGAGGCAGCAGUGGGGAAUAUUGGACAAUGGGGGCAACCCUGAUCCAGCAAUGCCGCGUGAGUGAUGAAGGCCUUC